RNAcentral lists this ribosomal RNA (1016 nucleotides) under Glandirana rugosa (Japanese wrinkled frog). RNAcentral's name for it is "Rugosa rugosa (Japanese wrinkled frog) partial 16S ribosomal RNA". It matches the Rfam family "Bacterial large subunit ribosomal RNA", at positions 776 to 2489 of the family's 2925-position model. Lineage: Eukaryota; Metazoa; Chordata; Amphibia; Anura; Ranidae. The record is from RNAcentral.
CAACCCGUCUCUGUUGCAAAAGAGUGGGAAGAUUUUCAAGUAGAGGUGACAAGCCUAUCGAACUUAGAGAUAGCUGGUUGUUCAGGAAAAGAGUCCAAGCUCUACCUUAAGUUUUUUCAAUUAACCUAAACAAAAUCCUAAACUUAAGAGCUAUUCAAGUAAGGCACAGCUUACUUGAAACAGGGUACAACCUCCCACAUUGGGUAAACAAGAACAAAUUAAACAAAGUCGGCCUAAGAGCAGCCAUCUUAUAAAAAGCGUUAAAGCUUAACUUAUAUGCACUUAUAAUUCCAAUAGUUACUAUUAACCCCUCAUUACUACUGAACUAUUUUAUAACCUUAUAAAAAUUAUUAUGCUAGAACUAGUAACAUGAAUACUUUUCUCCUUAAUGUAAGCUUAAACCAUAAUGGACCAUCCACUGGUAUUUAACGUAACUGUUCUUAUUAUAGCAACAUACGUCUAGAAAACCCUAUAAUCAAUAACGUUAACCUUACACUAGAACAUUAUAGGAAAGAUUAAAAGAAAGAGAAGGAACUCGGCAAACCCCAGCCCCGCCUGUUUACCAAAGACAUCGCCUCUUGCCUAACAUAAGAGGUCCAGCCUGCCCAGUGACAUAGUUUAACGGCCGCGGUACCCUAACCGUGCGAAGGUAGCAUAAUCACUUGUUCCCUAAAUAGGGACUAGUAUCAAUGGCAUCACGAGGGCUACACUGUCUCCUCUCUCCAAUCAGUGAAACUGAUCUCCCCGUGAAGAAGCGGGGAUUUUAAUAUAAGACGAGAAGACCCCAUGGAGCUUUAAACUUAAUAUACACCUCUACCCAUCUAUACCAAUUAACCCUAAAAGUCUGUGUGUUAGUUUUAGGUUGGGGGGACCGCGGAGUACAACUCAACCUCCACGACAAACGGGCUAACGCCCUUAUCCAUGAAACACAAUUCUAAGAAUCAACAAUCUGAUGUUUUAUGACCCGACAAGUCGAUCAACGAACCAAGUUACCCUGGGGAUAACAGCGCAAUCUA